CCUACGGGGUGCAGCAGUGGGGAAUUUUGGGCAAUGGGCGCAAGCCUGACCCAGCAACGCCGCGUGAAGGAAGAAGGCUUCCGGGUUGUAAACUCCUUUAGUCAGGGACGAAGCAAGCGACGGUACCUGACGAAUAAGCCACGGCUACCGUCGUGCCAGCAGCCGCCGUAAUAGGGAGGUGGCAAGCGUUAUCCGGAUUUACUGGGUGUAAAGAGCGUGUAGGCGGGACGGCAAGUCAGGUGUUAAAACCACGGGCUCAACCUGUGGCCUGCAUUUGAAACCGUAGUUCUAGAGUGCGGGAGAGGCAGACGGAAUUCCUAGUGUAGCGGUGAAAUGCGUAGAUAUUAGGAGGAACACCAGUGGCGAAGGCGGUCUGCUGGACAGCAACUGACGCUGAGGCGCGAAAGCGUGGGGAGCAAACAGGAUUAGAUACCCCGGUAGUC
RNAcentral lists this ribosomal RNA (443 nucleotides) under uncultured bacterium. RNAcentral describes it as "partial 16S ribosomal RNA". It matches the Rfam family "Bacterial small subunit ribosomal RNA", at positions 338 to 795 of the family's 1533-position model. The record is from RNAcentral.